UGUCGUGAUGAAGCAUUACGGAUGUUAAUGAGCUUCACGCUCGCUUGUCCGAGAGCGCAUAAACCCCAUGUGGAUUCUUCCGUUGCCUUCCUUCUGAACCUCGAU
This 105-nucleotide small nucleolar RNA is filed under the name Grifola frondosa (maitake). Its description in RNAcentral is "Small nucleolar RNA Z13/snr52". It matches the Rfam family "Small nucleolar RNA Z13/snr52". From Rfam's summary of the family: Z13 or snr52 is a member of the C/D class of snoRNA which contain the C (UGAUGA) and D (CUGA) box motifs. Most of the members of the box C/D family function in directing site-specific 2'-O-methylation of substrate RNAs. Lineage: Eukaryota; Fungi; Basidiomycota; Agaricomycetes; Polyporales; Grifolaceae. The record is from Rfam by way of RNAcentral.